AGUUAAUGAACUUGAAUAAGUAUAUGUUUUGAAAACAUAAUAUAGGAUUAAAUAAUUCCUAUUAACUU
RNAcentral lists this transfer RNA (68 nucleotides) under Scarodytes malickyi. Its description in RNAcentral is "tRNA-Ser". The record is from RNAcentral. Lineage: Eukaryota; Metazoa; Arthropoda; Insecta; Coleoptera; Dytiscidae.